UGGACCUUCCACCCCUUCAUUUUUUCCACCAUGCUGUGGACUCUGCUGCUACUUUUCUUCUUUUACUCUCCAGGCGUCACUUCACAGCCCACCUUGACUCAGCCUGCCUCCCAGUCUGGAUCUCCAGGAGGGACAACUAAAAUCUCCUGUGCCAUCAGUAGCAACCCAAACAACAUUGGCUGGCUUCAGCAGAGAUCUGGGGAAGCCCCUCGCUUUGUGCAAUAUGAUGGCGGCAGCAGAGGAGAAGGGAUCCCAGACCGAUUCACGGCAACCCGAUCAGGCAACAACGGCUACUUAACCAUCACCAACCUUCAGGCUGAAGACGAGGCUGAUUAUCACUGUUACAUGUGGUAUAGCAGUGGUAACAUGUUCCACAGUAUCACGGUCAAGUACAGCAUUAGUCAGGAACCUACCCUCUCUGCAUCUCUUGGGAAACCAGCAACUCUCUCCUGCAACAUCAGCAGUGGCUUCUACUUUAAUUACUUCUCAUGGACAAAUGUACUGUCCAACCCAGGCAAAACCGACUGA
Non-coding RNA from Pantherophis guttatus, 528 nucleotides. NCBI's taxonomy places the organism in Eukaryota, Metazoa, Chordata, Lepidosauria, Squamata, Colubridae. The record is from the annotation of a RefSeq genome assembly.